GGAGUGAACGCUGGCGGUAGGCCUAACACAUGCAAGUCGAACGGCAGCACAGUGGUAGCAAUACCAUGGGUGGCGAGUGGCGGACGGGUGAGGAAUACAUCGGAAUCUACCUUUUCGUGGGGGAUAACGUAGGGAAACUUACGCUAAUACCGCAUACGCCCUUUGGGGGAAAGCCGGGGAUCGCAAGACCUGGCGCGGAUAGAUGAGCCGAUGUCGGAUUAGCUAGUUGGUGAGGUAAUGGCUCACCAAGGCGACGAUCCGUAGCUGGUCUGAGAGGAUGAUCAGCCACACUGGAACUGAGACACGGCCCAGACUCCUACGGGAGCAGCAGUGGGAAUAUUGGACAAUGGGCGAAGCCUGAUCCAGCAACGCCGCGUGAGGGAUGGACGGCCUUCGGUUGUAAACCUCGUUUCAGUACCGACGAAGCGCCCGUUGUGGUGUGACGGUAGUACAGAAGAGCACCGGCCAACUACGUGUCAGCAGCCGCGGUAA
RNAcentral lists this ribosomal RNA (492 nucleotides) under uncultured soil bacterium. Its description in RNAcentral is "bacterial SSU rRNA". It matches the Rfam family "Bacterial small subunit ribosomal RNA", at positions 27 to 523 of the family's 1533-position model. The record is from RNAcentral.